Molecule: ribosomal RNA, 274 nt
Filed under: uncultured bacterium
Lineage: Bacteria
Description: partial 16S ribosomal RNA
Rfam family: Bacterial small subunit ribosomal RNA
Source: RNAcentral
AUACGGAGGGGGCUAGCGUUGUUCGGAAUUACUGGGCGUAAAGCGCGCGUAGGCGGCUUGCCAAGUUGGGGGUGAAAUCCCAGGGCUCAACCCUGGAACUGCCCUCAAAACUGGUUCGCUAGAGUCCGGGAGAGGUGAGUGGAAUUCCCAGUGUAGAGGUGAAAUUCGUAGAUAUUGGGAAGAACACCAGUGGCGAAGGCGGCUCACUGGAACGGUGCUGACGCUGAGGCGCGAAAGCGUGGGGAGCAAACAGGAUUAGAAACCCCGGUAGUCC